AGUUAAAUAAUUUAUUGAAAAUAUUUACCUUGAAAGUAAAAAAAAGAAUUAUUAUCUUUUAACUU
RNAcentral lists this transfer RNA (65 nucleotides) under Paurocephala sauteri. Its description in RNAcentral is "tRNA-Ser". Lineage: Eukaryota; Metazoa; Arthropoda; Insecta; Hemiptera; Liviidae. The record is from RNAcentral.